GAUUAAUCUUUAUACAGGAGGGCUGCCUUUUCAUUCCAAGUGAGCAUCAUACGACCUGAAAACAUUUUACAACAUCUUUGCAUUAAGAAGCAUAAAGCAAGAGUUCAAGCUCAUCAAGAAGACACAGCAGAAGCAGCUCUGCAUCCUCAUACCAGGUUCUAGGAGGUGCCAACAUAACUUUGUGCCUUGGAGAAUAACAGCUCUGAAAUCCAGCAAUCCCAGAGUCUGGAAACCUGAUUGUUCUUGCCUUGUUCCAUCAGGCAGGUCUUCCCUGAAGCCUUAGAGCAGCAGUUCUAGCAGCAGUUCUCAAUCAUAUUAGACCUGAGGCACGCACCCUUCAUUAGACUCAAAGCACCCCUUGGGAAAUGUCAGCUCUUAGCUUUCACUCUUUUCUAACUACAGAACAACAAUUGAGCAACUCUUCUGUUGCAAAGAAAUCAGAAAGACCGUAACAGGUGAGAAUGUUUUUAACACUGUGAGUUCCUGUUUGAAAUCCCUGGGCUUAUCUUGUGAUUCACGCGUAGAUGUUUGCACAUCUAACAGUACUAAUAUUGCACAACUCCUUGUGACACCUUUAAAAGGC
This 583-nucleotide long non-coding RNA is filed under the name Crocodylus porosus (Australian saltwater crocodile). RNAcentral's name for it is "lncRNA (ENSCPRG00005008748.1)". The record is from RNAcentral. Lineage: Eukaryota; Metazoa; Chordata; Crocodylia; Crocodylidae.